RNAcentral lists this ribosomal RNA (169 nucleotides) under uncultured bacterium. RNAcentral's name for it is "partial 16S ribosomal RNA". It matches the Rfam family "Bacterial small subunit ribosomal RNA", at positions 353 to 519 of the family's 1533-position model. The record is from RNAcentral.
AGUGAGGAAUCUUGCGCAAUGGGCGAAAGCCUGACGCAGCCACGCCGCGUGCCGGAUGAAGGCCCUAUGGGUUGUAAACGGCUUUUGAGGGGGAAGAACGACCGAGUUUCGAUUUGGUGUGACGGUACCCCUUGAAUAAGCACCGGCUAACUCCGUGCCAGCAGCAGCC